GUCGAGAAUCAUUCACAAUGGGGGAAACCCUGAUGGUGCGACGCCGCGUGGGGGAAUGAAGGUCUUCGGAUUGUAAACCCCUGUCAUGUGGGAGCAAAUUAAAAAGAUAGUACCACAAGAGGAAGAGACGGCUAACUCUGUGCCAGCAGCCGCGGUAAUACAGAGGUCUCAAGCGUUGUUCGGAAUCACUGGGCGUAAAGCGUGCGUAGGCUGUUUCGUAAGUCGUGUGUGAAAGGCGCGGGCUCAACCCGCGGACGGCACAUGAUACUGCGAGACUAGAGUAAUGGAGGGGGAACCGGAAUUCUCGGUGUAGCAGUGAAAUGCGUAGAUAUCGAGAGGAACACUCGUGGCGAAGGCGGGUUCCUGGACAUUAACUGACGCUGAGGCACGAAGGCCAGGGGAGCGAAAGGGAUUAGAAACCCUAGUAGUCCU
Molecule: ribosomal RNA, 432 nt
Filed under: uncultured bacterium
Lineage: Bacteria
Description: bacterial SSU rRNA
Rfam family: Bacterial small subunit ribosomal RNA
Source: RNAcentral